RNAcentral lists this ribosomal RNA (700 nucleotides) under uncultured archaeon. Its description in RNAcentral is "bacterial SSU rRNA". It matches the Rfam family "Archaeal small subunit ribosomal RNA", at positions 102 to 805 of the family's 1478-position model. The record is from RNAcentral.
AGUCAACAUGCCCAGGGGACGUGGAUAACCUCGGGAAACUGAGGAUAAACCGCGAUAGGCCAUGAUUUCUGGAAUGGUUCAUGGGCGAAAUCUAUAUGGCCCUUGGAUUGGACUGCGGCCGAUCAGGCUGUUGGUGAGGUAAUGGCCCACCAAACCUGUAACCGGUACGGGCUCUGAGAGGAGGAGCCCGGAGAUGGGCACUGAGACAAGGGCCCAGGCCCUAUGGGGCGCAGCAGGCGCGAAAUCUCUGCAAUAGGCGAAAGCUUGACAGGGUUACUCUGAGUGAUUCCCGCUAAGGGGAUCUUUUGGCACCUUUAAAAAUGGUGCAGAAUAAGGGGUGGGCAAGUCUGGUGUCAGCCGCCGCGGUAAUACCAGCACCCCGAGUGGUCGGGACGAUUAUUGGGCCUAAAGCAUCCGUAGCCGGUACUGCAAGUCUUCCGUUAAAUCCACCUGCUUAACAGUUGGGCUGCGGGGGAUACUACAGCGCUAGGAGGCGGGAGAGGCAAGCGGUACUCAAUGGGUAGGGGUAAAAUCCGCUGAUCCAUUGAAGACCACCAGUGGCGAAGGCGGCUUGCCAGAACGCGCUCGACGGUGAGGGAUGAAAGCUGGGGGAGCAAACCGGAUUAGAUACCCGGGUAGUCCCAGCUGUAAACGAUGCAGACUCGGUGAUGGACUAGCUUAAUGCUAGUCCAGUGCCGCA